Molecule: ribosomal RNA, 960 nt
Filed under: Triticum aestivum (bread wheat)
Lineage: Eukaryota; Viridiplantae; Streptophyta; Magnoliopsida; Poales; Poaceae
Description: partial small subunit ribosomal RNA
Source: RNAcentral
AUGGCCAAGGCAAACCCUUCAUAUUACCAAACCACCGCUGCGGUUAGCGCACCGGUCCAGUACCAGGAGCAUCUCUUCCACCUGUUUGUGCAGCAGCAGCUCGAAGCAACAAAUGGUGCUAACCAGCUCAUUACAGUGAACCCAAAGCUUCCCCAAGGGUUCGGUGUCACCGUUGCUACUGACUGGGACAUCCGUGAUGGUCCUGAAAUCACGGCAAAAGUUGUUGCGCGUGCACAAGGCCUGCAUCAAGGGUCCGGCAAGAGCAGCGGAGCCUGGUUUAUGUCGUUCAACACAGUGUUCACCGAUGAGAGGUUUAAGGGGUCCUCCCUCAGUGUGCAAGGACAUUUGGUUUCCGACGAAGGCGAAUGGGUAGUUACGGGUGGAACUGGCGAGUUCGCUUUUGCACAAGGUGUUGUCACCUACAAGAAAAUCAAGGAAUUGGCAGGUGGAAACAUCAGAGAGCUUCGUUUCCGUGUUGUGUGCUUCAACUUCCCAAAGCCGAACACCCUGACAAAGGUUGGGCCGUGGGGUGGGAAUGGAGGGACACCAUUUGAAAUCCCACAGGCAGAGCUACCUCAGCGUCUAGAAAGUGUCACAAUUCAGAGUGCCGAAGUUAUUGAUUCCAUUGCCUUCACCUACAUCGGCCUAGACGGCGCAAGGCGGACAGUCGGUCCAUUUGGUGGCGGCGGCGGGACUAAGCAGCCGAUCCUGCAGCUUGGUCCUUCGGAGAGCCUGAAGGAAAUAUUUGGCACAACCGGUAACUUUCUAGGAUUGAAUAUUGUCACAUCACUUUCCAUUGUCACCAAUGUUAAGACAUAUGGACCAUUCGGAAAACAAUCCGCGGGUAAUACCCCUUUCCGUACCACUGCGCCAGACCGUCACAGCAUUGUGGGCUUCUUCGGGCGGGCUGGCCAAUUUGUUGACCAGCUUGGAGCUUAUGUGCGCCCAACCCCAAAUUAG